Triticum aestivum (bread wheat) is the source of this 1853-nucleotide long non-coding RNA. RefSeq lists it as uncharacterized. Lineage: Eukaryota; Viridiplantae; Streptophyta; Magnoliopsida; Poales; Poaceae. The transcript has 8 exons. The record is from RefSeq and is a predicted model, not a curated record.
AUAAUUAACCUCUUCUCUUACUUACCACUAAUCAAUUCCCAAACAUGCAAUAUUUCUGCUCCAAAACAUAAUUGCAUUUGUAAAACAUGAUUAGCAUUCAAGGUGAAAAAUUGCCAGGACGUUUUUUGUCUUCUAUUUUGUCAGUAUGGUGCACAAGAGUGGUAGACCUAAAAUUCCCAAAAUUAGACAGGGAAAUGAAAUGUUUGCUGCAUGCCGGCUAGAACAGUAGUGGAAAGAGAUGAGUCUGUAGACUGCCUGCCCGCCCGCCUGCCUGAUAUGAUGGUGAGAGAGAUGGGUGGUAGCACCGUUGAAGUCAUUUUUGUAGUGGAGUCAUAUUUGGGUGGUAUGUUCAGCAAGCAAUAAACUGACACGCGGCCUGUAGUGUUCUGCACGCCGAAAUCAGAAGCACACACUGUUUCUGGUAAGAGUUGGCCCAUGAAGCGAGAAACGAUUUUAUUCAUGGUUGAUAGCCACUUUGAGUAACUGUCUGAGACAUCUUCACUGCGGAGGCCUAACCCUAAUGAGCUAUUGCAAUAUAUUAUGCAGUACCCUAAUUGUUCAUUACUAAAUUCUAACUGCUUGAAUUCUGAUUUUCAUAUACAUCUUAAUAUUUCAGUGGAGUUUCCUACAUUGCAGGGUGAUAUGGAUGAAGGAAAAGAGGCCAGCAGUGCUGGGCUAAACAAUUCAGGGAGGUAUUGGAUUGGCCUCUGUAGAAACUAUGGUAAAGGCACCUAAUCUUGGGCCCCUAGAAGAAGGAAACUCAACAUGCAUGGUUCUCAUUAGUACUGACCGUUGCGGUGCGUAGAAGAAAGGUGCUACUUUCACUUAGUUCUCUCAGUUCUAAGUUGGGACUGCAAAAAUUUGAGGAUUUCCCCACAUAGACCUGAAGUUUCUGCUUCUAGCAUUUCUCUUUUGUAAGCAGCAUGGCAAACCCGGUUUCAAAGUAAAGACCUGAGGAAGAAUGUGGAUUUAUCACUGUGAUUUCAAGUCCUUCAGAGCUGGAGCUGUUAAGACUUGAGACAGAUAUAUACAGGUAACAGGGGCCUACAAGAUCCAAUUCAUAAGAAACUGAGGCACAUCAAUCAAACGCCAACCCACCUGCUAUUGGCACUAAAUGAGGAAGGAAAAAAACAUUGUCCCUGAAGGCUCGAGACACACAAACAGGAAACUGAGUUUGGGAAAGGUGGUUGUCUCCUUGACGCACACCAUGGUGCCCUUGUCUACUCUCUGUCUUCUUCCUUGCCAGACACCUUAUUUACUGGUAGUAGGUUCUCUCAUAGCAUUUUUCGGUGGAGUUGUACUGGCAUCUUUGACUGAAGUUUCUUUCAACUGGGAGAAAACAUGACAAGAAAGGGGAAGAACUAACCUACAUGGAGCUUGGUCAAGGUCGUCGCUCAUGUUUGAUGGCAUUGUUUCUGGUUCCACCGAUGUUGUCGAUGCCUGUUACCUAUGGCCCCUUUGCUGCUUUCCUCGGUCGGGCGUGGUCCAUCAGCCAUUGCAUGCAGACAAUAGAAUUUAGGCCAGCAAGUCGCUUAUCUACGCUACAGAUCGACCCAUAGACAGGGAAAGGAAGCGAUGGUUGGUGGGGAGAGGAGCCGGGGGACGUGUUGUGAUGGGACAAGAGGCGCAGUGGCAGGGAGAGAAGGUGAAGACUACGCCAUGUGAGUUGCAGAUGUUGUGCCUUAUGCGGCGGGGAUAAGGGAUGUGUGAUGUGCUUGUGUGGUGAGAGGCGAGGAGUGGCUUUUCCUUUUUGCGGGAGGCUGUUCAUUUUUGUCUAUUCUAUUUUUAUAUUCAAGAUACAUACAAUUAUUUAUCAUCAUUAUAAUCGAGAUAAUAAAUAUUUAUUUAUUCCA